Molecule: ribosomal RNA, 332 nt
Filed under: Laparocerus squamosus tasarticus
Lineage: Eukaryota; Metazoa; Arthropoda; Insecta; Coleoptera; Curculionidae
Description: partial 12S ribosomal RNA
Source: RNAcentral
AAUACCCUAUUAUUUUAAAAGUAAAUAAUUAAACCUAAUUAGUAAAAGUUAAGUUCUUGAAAAUUAAAGAAUUUGGCGGUAUUUUAGUCUAUUCAGAGGAAUCUGUCCUAUAAUUGAUAAUCCACGAUUUUUUAUACCUAUUUUAUUAAUUUACAUAUCGCCGUAGUUUGAAUAUUUUUUGAAAAAAAUAAUAUUCAUAAUUUAUUUAAUAAAAAAAAUCAGGUCAAGGUGUAGUUUAUAUAUAGGAAGAGAUGGGUUACAAUAAAAGUAUUUAUUAUGGAUUAAUUAAUUAAAUUUUUUUAUGAAGGUGGAUUUGAAAGUAAUUUUAUUUA